GAGGGGNNGCUAUACAUGCAAGUCGAGCGGACAGAUGGGAGCUUGCUCCCUGAUGUUAGCGGCGGACGGGUGAGUAACACGUGGGUAACCUGCCUGUAAGACUGGGAUAACUCCGGGAAACCGGGGCUAAUACCGGAUGGUUGUUUGAACCGCAUGGUUCAGACAUAAAAGGUGGCUUCGGCUACCACUUACAGAUGGACCCGCGGCGCAUUAGCUAGUUGGUGAGGUAACGGCUCACCAAGGCAACGAUGCGUAGCCGACCUGAGAGGGUGAUCGGCCACACUGGGACUGAGACACGGCCCAGACUCCUACGGGAGGCAGCAGUAGGGAAUCUUCCGCAAUGGACGAAAGUCUGACGGAGCAACGCCGCGUGAGUGAUGAAGGUUUUCGGAUCGUAAAGCUCUGUUGUUAGGGAAGAACAANUGCCGUUCAAAUAGGGCGGCACCUUGACGGUACCUAACCANAAAGCCCCGGCUAACUACAUGCCAUCAGCCGCGGUAAUAUGUAGGUGGCAAGC
Molecule: ribosomal RNA, 517 nt
Filed under: Bacillus sp. NAMNR4.4
Lineage: Bacteria; Bacillati; Bacillota; Bacilli; Caryophanales; Bacillaceae
Description: bacterial SSU rRNA
Rfam family: Bacterial small subunit ribosomal RNA
Source: RNAcentral